Bos taurus (domestic cattle) is the source of this 1648-nucleotide long non-coding RNA. The record is from Ensembl. NCBI's taxonomy places the organism in Eukaryota, Metazoa, Chordata, Mammalia, Artiodactyla, Bovidae.
CUUGGGCUGAAUCACACUGGCUUUCCUGGCUCUCCAGGUUGCAGAUGACAGACCGUGGGGCUUCUCAGCGGCCGUUCUGGGGAGACACAGGUUCCCUCCCUGGUCGAAGCCCUGAUCACCCCAGCUGGAGAAAUAAAGCGCAGCCAAAAGAAAUAAACAGGGAGAGGACAGCGUGCGAAGGCAGAGACCGGGGCGCUGCUGCUCCAAGCCAAGGGGACCCACAGACUGCCAGCCAGACCUCGGGAGCUGGGAACAAGGCCUGGGACAGACACUCCCCCAAAGCCCUGGAAGGGACCGACCCUCCCGACACAUCCAGCCUCCAGAUGGGGAGACGAUACGAAUCUGUUACUGAGAGCCACCUGGCUUGUGAGACUUUGUUCCAGGAGCCCCGAGAAAAGAAGACAGUGGUUUUUGGGGAGCGUGGGAAGUGUGCACAGAGCCCUUGCCUGGAAUCACGUCCUGUGCCCGUCGUCCUGACAUUCUUAGUAACUUCUGGAGAGGGGCCCACGCUCUCACUUUGCACUAGGCCCUGAUCAUCACACAGGCCUUCCUGUUUUCAGAACUCUCUGGCAAGACCCCACCACGAGCCCAGACACCUCCCAGGCAGCCAGGGCCCCGCGCAGUCCGAGGCCAACUACUUGGUGGACCCGAGGCCUGGCCUCAUGGGGGUCCCAGGGCAGUGGGCGGGCCUUCCCACCACCUUGUUUCCCUAAAGACCAGCUCAGGGUGGGAACCCCCAGUACAGCCCGGGUCGUGACUCCCCUGGGGGUCCACCGCGGGGGGUGGGGGCUGAUUCCUGGUCGGAGCGCUAAGAUCUCAUAUGCUGUGCACGCGUGCUCGUCGCUCAGUCCUGUCCGACCCCCCAACCCCAUGGACUGCAGCCCGCCAGGCUCCUCUUGUCCAUGGGAUUCUCCAGGUAAGAAUACUGCAGUGGGUUGCCAUGCCUUCCUCCAAGGGAUCUUCCCGACCCAGGGAUGCAGCCUGUGUCUUCUGCGUGGGCAGGCGGAUUCUUUACUGCCCGAGCCACCAGGGAAGCCCCUCACGCACCAUGAGGUGAGGCCCAAAACUUAAAAAAAAAAAAAAGAAAAAAGGAUAACUUGGAUCAGGACUCCUGGGUUCUCUUGCCAACCCUACGUCCUUCCAACUGUGAGCCAAAUCCGGCUAAAUGUUAGACUCUGCCAACAGGCAGCUGCCAGGAGCCGAGAGGCUUGGCCACCGUCACAGCCCCUCCCUGACGCGCUGUGACCUCGUCCGACUUUGUCCCGACUCAGGUCACAUCAACCAGGGUUUCCAGACCCCCCGCCCAGAGCACAAGACCACCAUUGAGCACAGAACACUCAGGCAGUGCCUUCUGGGAGCCGGAGCCUGCCGCCGGGUAUAAGAGUCAGUUUCUAUUUAUUUCUACUCUGAAGGACAAACAGAUCCUCCUGGAAGCAGGUCACCUCACGGUGGAGGAUCUCUCAGCCACUUUUGCAGAGAGCUAAUGCGUUUCGUCCCUCGCCGGGUCCGGGAUGCUCUCCCUUAGCCUGGGGGCAGCAGGGGAUGGGAGUGGAGGACAGGGGUCCGUUCCACUGGGAUGCUGAGGUCCUGCCCGCAGCGUCAUCGUGGACAUCACAUCGACCGCCGGCGACACAGCUGGGAUGAGACC